This 468-nucleotide ribosomal RNA is filed under the name uncultured bacterium. RNAcentral describes it as "partial 16S ribosomal RNA". It matches the Rfam family "Bacterial small subunit ribosomal RNA", at positions 28 to 507 of the family's 1533-position model. The record is from RNAcentral.
GACGAACGCUGGCGGCGUGCUUAACACAUGCAAGUCGAACGGAAAGGCCCUGCUUUUGUGGGGUGCUUGAGUGGCGAACGGGUGAGUAACACGUGAGUACCCUGCCCUUGACUUUGGGUUAACUUCAGGAAACUGGGGAUAAUACCGGAUCGGAGCUCCUGCUCCAUGGUGGGGGUUGGAAAGUUGCGGCGGUUGGGGAUGGACUCGCGGCUUAUCAGCUUGUUGGUGGGGUAGUGGCAUACCAAGGCUUUGACCGGUAGGCGGCCUGAGAGGGGGACCGGGCACCAGAGGCCUAAGGGAGGGACCAGGGUGCAACGUGGGACAACGGGCGCGAGUAUGACACAGUAAGCCGGAGCCUGAUACGAAGACGCCGCGGGCGGGAUGACCGCCUGCAGGUUAUGAACCGCUUUCGCCUGUGACGAAGCGUUAAUGACGGUAAUGGAUAAAGAAGCACCGGCUAACUACGUG